UGCUUACACAUGCAGUCGAACGGUAGCAGCAGAGCUUGCUCUGGCUGACGAGUGGCGGACGGGUGCGUAACGCGUGGGAAUUUACCUUGUAGCGGGGGAUAGCCCGGAGAAAUCCGGAUUAAUACCGCAUAAUCUCUACGGAGCAAAGUGGGGGAUCUUCGGACCUCACGCUAUUAGAUGAGCCCGCGUUAGAUUAGCUUGUUGGUGAGGUAAUGGCUCACCAAGGCGACGAUCUAUAGCUGGUUUGAGAGGAUGAUCAGCCACACUGGGACUGAGACACGGCCCCACACUAAUACGGGAGGCAGCAGUGGGGAAUAUUGGACAAUGGGCGCAAGCCUGAUCCAGCAAUACCGCGUGUGUGAAGAAGGCCUGAGGGUUGUAAAGCACUUUCAAUAGAGACGAAAAGCUUAGGGUUAAUAACCCUGAGUCCUGACUUAACCUAUAGAAGAAGCACCGGCUAACUCCGUGCCAGCAGCCGCGGUAAUACGGAGGGUGCAAGCGUUAAUCGGAAUUACUGGGCGUAAAGCGCUCGUAGGCGGUUUGUUAAGUCGGAUGUGAA
RNAcentral lists this ribosomal RNA (559 nucleotides) under uncultured Gammaproteobacteria bacterium. Its description in RNAcentral is "bacterial SSU rRNA". It matches the Rfam family "Bacterial small subunit ribosomal RNA", at positions 45 to 598 of the family's 1533-position model. Lineage: Bacteria; Pseudomonadati; Pseudomonadota; Gammaproteobacteria. The record is from RNAcentral.